Molecule: ribosomal RNA, 498 nt
Filed under: uncultured bacterium
Lineage: Bacteria
Description: partial 16S ribosomal RNA
Rfam family: Bacterial small subunit ribosomal RNA
Source: RNAcentral
GAUUAACGCUGGCGGCAUGCUUUACACGUGCAAGUCGAACGGUAACAGGCCGCAAGGUGCUGACGAGUGGCGAACGGGUGAGUAAUGCAUCGGAACGUGCCCAGUCGUGGGGGAUAACGCAGCGAAAGCUGUGCUAAUACCGCAUACGAUCUAUGGAUGAAAGCGGGGGAACGUAAGGCCUCGCGCGAUUGGAGCGGCCGAUGUCAGAUUAGGUAGUUGGUGGGGUAAAGGCCCACCAAGCCAACGAACUGUAGCUGGUCUGAGAGGACGACCAGCCACACUGGGACUGAGACACGGCCCAGACUCCUACGGGAGGCAGCAGUGGGGAAUUUUGGACAAUGGGCGCAAGCCUGAUCCAGCAAUGCCGCGUGCAGGAAGAAGGCCUUCGGGCUGUAAACUGCUUUUGUACGGAACGAAAAGGUUUGGGUUAAUACCCUGGGCCGAUGACGGUACCGUAAGAAUAAGCACCGGCUAACUACGUGCCAGCAGCCGCCGUAA